GCAGACACAUUCCAGCCAAUCAGCAGCAGACCCUCCCUCCCAGACCCUGCCACCUCCUGGACAGCAUCCAUUUUGAAGCUGCAUUCUUAGUGAGCUGUCCAGGAGGUGGGAGGGUCUGGGAGGGAGGGUCUGCUGCUGAUUGGCUGGAAUGUGUCUG
RNAcentral lists this microRNA precursor (157 nucleotides) under Pelobates cultripes (western spadefoot toad). The record is from RNAcentral. Lineage: Eukaryota; Metazoa; Chordata; Amphibia; Anura; Pelobatidae.